GACGUAGGUGGCGAACGUUAUCCGGAAUUACUGGGCGUAAAGGGCGCGUAGGCGGUCCUUCAAGUCAGGCGUGAAAGCCCCGGGCUCAACCUGGGAACCGCGCUUGAGACUGGCGGGCUAGAGUUCGGGAGAGGAUGGUGGAAUUCCCAGUGUAGAGGUGAAAUUCGUAGAUAUUGGGAAGAACACCGAUGGCGAAGGCAGCCAUCUGGACCGACACUGACGCUGAGGCGCGAAAGCGUGGGGAGCAAACAGG
RNAcentral lists this ribosomal RNA (253 nucleotides) under uncultured bacterium. Its description in RNAcentral is "partial 16S ribosomal RNA". It matches the Rfam family "Bacterial small subunit ribosomal RNA", at positions 524 to 776 of the family's 1533-position model. The record is from RNAcentral.